RNAcentral lists this small RNA (107 nucleotides) under Marmota monax (woodchuck). Lineage: Eukaryota; Metazoa; Chordata; Mammalia; Rodentia; Sciuridae. The record is from RNAcentral.
GCUGCAUGUGGUGGUGCACACCUGUAAUCCCAGCAGCUCAGGAGGCUGAGACAGGAGAAUUGCAAGUUCAAAGCCAGCCUCAGCAACUUAGCAAGACCCUGUCUCUA